RNAcentral lists this ribosomal RNA (253 nucleotides) under uncultured bacterium. RNAcentral describes it as "partial 16S ribosomal RNA". It matches the Rfam family "Bacterial small subunit ribosomal RNA", at positions 524 to 776 of the family's 1533-position model. The record is from RNAcentral.
UACGUAGGGUGCGAGCGUUAAUCGGAAUUACUGGGCGUAAAGCGUGCGCAGGCGGUUUGAUGAGCCAGAGGGGAAAUCCCCGAGCUCAACUUGGGAACUGCGUUUGGAACUGUCAGACUAGAGUGCGUCAGAGGGGGGUGGAAUUCCGCGUGUAGCAGUGAAAUGCGUAGAGAUGCGGAGGAACACCGAUGGAGAAGGCAGCCCCCUGGGAUGACACUGACGCUCAUGCACGAAAGCGUGGGGAGCAAACAGG